UACGAAGGGGGCUAGCGUUGUUCGGAAUUACUGGGCGUAAAGCGCACGCAGGCGGCUCGAUAAAUUAGAAGUGAAAGCCCCGGGCUUAACCUGGGAAUUGCUUUUAAGACUGUCGAGCUAGAAUCCAGAAGAGGGUAGUGGAAUUCCGAGUGUAGAGGUGAAAUUCGUAGAUAUUCGGAAGAACACCAGUGGCGAAGGCGACUACCUGGUCUGGCAUUGACGCUCAUGUGCGAAAGCGUGGGGAGCAAACAGG
Molecule: ribosomal RNA, 253 nt
Filed under: uncultured bacterium
Lineage: Bacteria
Description: partial 16S ribosomal RNA
Rfam family: Bacterial small subunit ribosomal RNA
Source: RNAcentral